Molecule: non-coding RNA, 437 nt
Filed under: Saccharomyces cerevisiae YJM1444
Lineage: Eukaryota; Fungi; Ascomycota; Saccharomycetes; Saccharomycetales; Saccharomycetaceae
Source: RNAcentral
AGAUAUUUAUAUUAUUAAUAGGAAAGUCAUAAAUAUAUAAAUUAUAUUAUAUAAUUAAUAUACUCCUUUCGGGGUUCCGGUCUCCGUACCGGACCCCGGAACUAAUAAAAUAAAUUAUAUAUUUUAUUUAUAAUAUUAUUUCUUUAUAAGAUAAAUAUUAUCUAAUUAAUAAUUAGAUUGAAUAAUAUUUAUAAAGAAAUAUAUAUAUAUAUAUAAAGUCAUUAUAUAAAUUUAAUUAUAAUUUAAAUAAAUUUUAUAUAAAUUAAUAUAAUAUUAAUAAAGUAAUUAGUAUAAAUAAAUAAUAUGAAAAUAAAACUUAAUAAAUAUAUAAAUAUAGUCCAUAUAUAUAUAUUAAUAAAAAAAAAGUAAUAUAUAUAUAUAUAUUGGAAUAGUUAUAUUAUUAUACAGAAAUAUGCUUAAUUAUAAUAUAAUAUCCA